RNAcentral lists this ribosomal RNA (253 nucleotides) under uncultured bacterium. RNAcentral's name for it is "partial 16S ribosomal RNA". It matches the Rfam family "Bacterial small subunit ribosomal RNA", at positions 524 to 776 of the family's 1533-position model. The record is from RNAcentral.
UACGUAGGGUGCGAGCGUUAAUCGGAAUUACUGGGCGUAAAGCGUGCGUAGGCGGUUCGUUAAGUUCGUUGUGAAAGCCCCGGGCUCAACCUGGGAAUGGCAAUGGAAACUGGCGGGCUGGAGUAUGGCAGAGGGGGGUGGAAUUCCGCGUGUAGCAGUGAAAUGCGUAGAGAUGCGGAGGAACACCGAUGGCGAAGGCAGCCCCCUGGGCCAAUACUGACGCUCGGGCACGAAAGCGUGGGGAGCAAACAGG